Long non-coding RNA from Peromyscus maniculatus bairdii (prairie deer mouse), 3556 nucleotides. RefSeq lists it as uncharacterized. NCBI's taxonomy places the organism in Eukaryota, Metazoa, Chordata, Mammalia, Rodentia, Cricetidae. The record is from RefSeq and is a predicted model, not a curated record.
UCCCACCUUACUAACAGGGAAAAGGGCCCAGGAGCCUUGAAGAAACCACUCUGCUCUUCCGGACACCAGGCAGCAUUCCCUGCCAGCCUCAUUAAGGGGGCUAACCACAUGGCCAUGGACAAGUUACUCUUUGUAAGAUGAGGAAGAAGAAAAGAUAGGAAGGACUGAGGAGGGCAUUAGGGAAGCAAUGUGUGUUACCUGGAGACCACAGAUGGAAGCAGACUCAACUGUGCCACACACCACAAGUCACCAUCAUAGCAACACUAACAGGCAGGACUGCCAGUACCAUUUCAUAGAAACUGAGGUUGGGUAACAGACUCAGCUUCAUGAACACUGUUGCUAGAAUGCUCUGCAUACCAGCAGUGGGGCUGGAAUCAUUCCCAAGAGAGAUGGGGAUCACUGGAGAGUGACAGAUUCCAAGCCUUGAAAUCUGGAGAGCACAAGAAAGGAGAUGCCAGCGAUAUGGCUGAGCACAACCCUGAGCAGCAGCCUGAGGAGAGGGUGGACAGGAUGGGAUGAGAAGGCCAAAGGAGCUGUUGAUGGCUGUAAGGCUCGGCCAGCACUCAUAGGUGACAUCAGGGCCUGCAGUGGGGCAAGACUCCCCAUUUGGAUUGCUUGUCUGUGACCCAUGAGUGGCAAAGAACACUGUGAUAGACAGGAGGGAUCUCAGGGGAGAUCUGGUGGAGGAAGGUGGGGUGGCUGGGUGAUGUGUGAACUGCAGAGCUGAUGAGAUGGCCCAGAAAAGGGUGGAAUGAUGAGAAGAUACACUAAUCUUGCGGCUCUUCUCCAACCUGCCCACCGGGAAGAGACAAGAUAACAAGAGACAACCCCAAUUCCCUGUCUGCACAGUGACACGCUUCCUUCCCACCCUGGCUGAGGAGAGAUGACAUGGACAGUUCAGGAAAGGAAUAUGCCCUUUUAAGGCUCUGGCUAUGAUCUACAAAAGGUUCUGGACCUAUAUAUAAACCACACAACACACCUUUGCAGUCCUGAAAAGGCUGGCAGAGCUGGGGUGCAGCUCAAGACGGAGUGCUUGGGCAGCAUGCAUAAGGCCCAGGUUCUAUCCCCAGCACUGCAAAAACAGAGGUGUGGGCUGGGAGUAAAUGGAAGAACGCCACGGGCCUGUUACACAGCUGUAGUUGUCCAUAGAUAGGCCAGCUCUGUGUCAGAGAAAUCUGAUUCCAGCAACAAUAAGGUGACCAUUGUCACAAACCACCACUAAUAAGAACAUUGAGAUGUGGACCGGCCCGAAGCCUUGGGCUAGAAACCAUUUCCAUUCUAGGGCAUUGCCUGACUCUCAUUAGCAUUUAUACGGGUGCACUCCAAGAGCCAAGGCACUGGAGAAGCUUUGCCAGGUAAUUUUCCACUGAGUCCUCAAGGCUGCCUUGCUCUGCCACAGUCAAAGAGGUUGCAUGGAUGACAGCUCCACAUGCUUCAGAAGAGAAGAGCAGGAGAGGUCCUCUCCAGCCCCCAGGAGCAUCCCCUCCCUCCCUACCCACGGGCAUGCAUCAAUAUUGCCUGGGCCUCUCCAGGUCAGAGCAGAAAGGACCUUCAGAGCACAUCCAACCAACCCAACCCUUCAGUCAGUCAAGAGAAGACCAUCAGCAUCAGAUGACACAGGAGCCACGUGACUGCUCACCAUCUAGUCUCUACAGAUGAGUUACUCUUACCCUGGUGACAACUCUAAACCAGCAGCUGCCUGGCAAGGCACAAAAGUCACCUGGUCAGAGUGCCAGUGACAAAGUAGGCAUAAUCCAAAUGCUUCUUUCCAGACUGGCCUUUGUGUUCAACCUGUUCCCAAAGCAGCAGGCAGGCACACAGCAUGCCCUGCAGCAGACCACGGGAGCAGACACAAUUCUAAACUCUGGGACAGACGUCUUAUUGAACCUCCAGGUGAGAUGAAUCCUCUGUGGUUUGGACCCUCGGUCUAUUGACUGAGCCCUCCUAUCUCCUCCGCUGUGGCCUCCUCAUCCUUCCCGUGGCUUCUUCUGAGGAAACUCUCCUUGCCAGUGUACCUCACAAUUAACGACCCUUCACCAAACUCCCAAUCCCUCACUCCACACCCCAGGUUUUAGAAGGACAGAACUGACCCUCAUGCUAACUUGCACUCAAGUGGGAUGGACCAUGACUGAUCCUUGCUCAGGCACUUUAAAGAACUUCUGGAGGCAAUACCUGCAAUGGUGGGAGGCCUGGCAACAGAGUGAAAGCUAUGACAGGGAGGCCAGAGCAUCCUGGGAGUCUCUCCUCAUCGCUGUUUGUGAAUUCGGAACCACCAGCCCACCCUACUUUACUACUCAGAUCUAAGCAUCUCUCUGAAACACGCCCAACUUUGAAAGCUAAGGAGAAAACCAGGAAGUAUCACCAAGGAAAGCAAAAUCAUGGCCGGCUCUUCUAUGCAGAUGCCAUGAGUCCUCCCCUAGUUCUUGUCGGUGAAUCUGCAGGUUCAACCAACUCCUAAUGGAAAAUACUGCUCUUACACUGAAUGUCUACAGACUCCUCCUCGUCAUUAUCACCUGGGCAAUACAGUAGGUACAGCAGCCAUCGUACAGCAAAUGCACUGUCUUGAGUAUUAUGCCACCCAGUGACGAUGCGGCCCACGGGAGAAAGCAGGUAUGGUGGCACACACUUAGAUCCCAGCUACUCAAGAGGCUGGGGGAGAAGGAUCACUUGGCGGAUGCCUGGGCAACACAGCAAGAACCCAUUUCCAAAAGCACAGAAAAACAGGAGGAGAAGGCAAUGUAUAUAGUUAAAUGUAAAUACAGCAUCAUUUUAUGUGGGGGACUUGAGCAUCUGUGGACCUCCUAACUCCAGGCACAGGAGUUCCUGGGAUCAAACUCCUACUGGGACCACAGAGGACCUUACACAAAGCAGCCUUCUGCCACAAACAAGUGAAAAUCAUCAAUGCCUGAAGUUAAAAGCCUGGUGACAGGAGGCUGGAGUCCUCAGAAAGGGACUUCAGGACAAGUCAGUCGCUCAUGUCUGAGCAUAACAAGUGACAAAGUCUACACUGACUUCAGCAGGGACAGCGCUGAUGCCAAUUAUUUUCUGCCCAAGUCGAGAGAGCUUGUCACCCUUCUGCAGAACAAUUAUCUAUAGGUGCACCAGAGUUAGAAGCUCAGCUCUUUCCCCGAAUCAGCAUGGGGAAAGUGCUGCUCACAGCGAUUUGACAGCGUUUCAUCAAAUUAAUCUUUGAAUGUGUUAGUCUAACAAUUACGCCAACUACCAUGUAAUACUCCAACUGACUUUACAAAAAUGAGGAAAACUCCCCCCAAGAAAAUGAGCAGUCAUUAGACAUGCACGAGACCUUUCUAUGGUCAACAGCACACAAAGUCCACCACAUAAUGGGUGGUGUCAAAGCCUUUUCCCGUGUCCUUCCAUUCUCGGCCACAGCACAGAAAGCUGACCCGGGCAAGAACCCAACUCCCCUUCACACAUUACUGCACGCACUGCUUUAAAUUCCUCGGAUAAAAUGAUGAAUGGCAAAUGUUUUAGCAAUUAAAAUCUCUUUUCAUUUACAGAAGCAAGAAAAACAUAAUUAAUGACUGGCCUCUUGCAU